UACUGGGCGUAAAGAGCGCGUAGGUGGUUUUUUAAGUCAGGUGUGAAAUCCCUAGGCUCAACCUAGGAACUGCAUUUGAAACUGGAAAACUAGAGUUUCGUAGAGGGAGGUAGAAUUCUAGGUGUAGCGGUGAAAUGCGUAGAUAUCUGGAGGAAUACCCGUGGCGAAAGCGGCCUCCUAAACGAAAACUGACACUGAGGCGCGAAAGCGUGGGGAGCAAACAGGAUUAGAUACCCUGGUAGUCCAUGCCGUAAACGAUGUCGACUUGGAGGUUGUUUCCAAGAGAAGUGACKUCCGAAGCUAACGCAUUAAGUCGACCGCCUGGGGAGUACGGCCGCAAGGCUAAAACUCAAAGG
This 356-nucleotide ribosomal RNA is filed under the name uncultured bacterium. RNAcentral describes it as "bacterial SSU rRNA". It matches the Rfam family "Bacterial small subunit ribosomal RNA", at positions 552 to 907 of the family's 1533-position model. The record is from RNAcentral.